This 253-nucleotide ribosomal RNA is filed under the name uncultured bacterium. Its description in RNAcentral is "partial 16S ribosomal RNA". It matches the Rfam family "Bacterial small subunit ribosomal RNA", at positions 525 to 776 of the family's 1533-position model. The record is from RNAcentral.
ACGUAGGGGGCGAGCGUUGUCCGGAUUUAUUGGGCGUAAAGAGCUCGUAGGCGGUUCAACAAGUCGGCCGUGAAAGCCUGAGGCUCAACCUCAGGACGCCGGUCGAAACUGUUGUGACUAGGGUUCGGUAGAGGAGAGUGGAAUUCCCGGUGUAGCGGUGAAAUGCGCAGAUAUCGGGAGGAACACCAGUAGCGAAGGCGGCUCUCUGGGCCGAUACCGACGCUGAGGAGCGAAAGCUAGGGGAGCAAACAGG